RNAcentral lists this ribosomal RNA (730 nucleotides) under Microbacterium barkeri. RNAcentral describes it as "partial 16S ribosomal RNA". It matches the Rfam family "Bacterial small subunit ribosomal RNA", at positions 1 to 732 of the family's 1533-position model. Lineage: Bacteria; Bacillati; Actinomycetota; Actinomycetes; Micrococcales; Microbacteriaceae. The record is from RNAcentral.
CCGAAUUCGUCGACAACAGAGUUUGAUCCUGGCUCAGGAUGAACGCUGGCGGCGUGCUUAACACAUGCAAGUCGAACGAUGAAGCCGGAGCUUGCUCUGGUGGAUUGUGGCGAACGGGUGAGUAACACGUGAGCAACCUGCCCCUGACUCUGGGAUAACAGCCGGAAACGGCUGCUAAUACCGGAUAUGCACCAUGAACGCAUGUUCUGUGGUGGGAAAGAUUUUUCGGUUGGGGAUGGGCUCGCGGCCUAUCAGCUUGUUGGUGAGGUAAUGGCUCACCAAGGCGUCGACGGGUAGCCGGCCUGAGAGGGUGACCGGCCACACUGGGACUGAGACACGGCCCAGACUCCUACGGGAGGCAGCAGUGGGGAAUAUUGCACAAUGGGCGAAAGCCUGAUGCAGCAACGCCGCGUGAGGGAUGACGGCCUUCGGGUUGUAAACCUCUUUUAGCAGGGAAGAAGCGAGAGUGACGGUACCUGCAGAAAAAGCGCCGGCUAACUACGUGCCAGCAGCCGCGGUAAUACGUAGGGCGCAAGCGUUAUCCGGAAUUAUUGGGCGUAAAGAGCUCGUAGGCGGUUUGUCGCGUCUGCUGUGAAAACUGGAGGCUCAACCUCCAGCCUGCAGUGGGUACGGGCAGACUAGAGUGCGGUAGGGGAGAUUGGAAUUCCUGGUGUAGCGGUGGAAUGCGCAGAUAUCAGGAGGAACACCGAUGGCGAAGGCAGAUCUCUGG